UACGUAGGUGGCAAGCGUUGUCCGGAUUUAUUGGGUUUAAAGGGUGCGUAGGCGGCUUUGUAAGUCAGUGGUGAAAUAUGGCAGCUCAACUGUUGCACUGCCAUUGAUACUGGAUGACUUGAGUACAGACGAGGUAGGCGGAAUUUAUGGUGUAGCGGUGAAAUGCAUAGAUACCAUAAAGAACACCGAUUGCGAAGGCAGCUUACUAGGCUGUAACUGACGCUGAGGCACGAAAGCGUGGGGAUCGAACAGG
This 253-nucleotide ribosomal RNA is filed under the name uncultured bacterium. Its description in RNAcentral is "partial 16S ribosomal RNA". It matches the Rfam family "Bacterial small subunit ribosomal RNA", at positions 524 to 776 of the family's 1533-position model. The record is from RNAcentral.